GGCGUGCUUACACAUGCAAGNNNNAACGAUGAAGCAACUGCUUGCAGUUGUGGAUUAGUGGCGCACGGGUGAGUAAUGGAUAGGUUACCUGCCUCAUAGUCUAGGACAACAAUUGGAAACGAUUGCUAAUACCGGAUAUUCCCUACGGGGGAAAGAUUUAUCGCUAUGAGAUGGGCCUAUCUCCUAUCAGCUAGUUGGUAAGGUAAUGGCUUACCAAGGCUAUGACGGGUAGCUGGUCUUAGAGGACGAUCAGCCACACUGGAACUGAGACACGGUCCAGACUCCUACGGGAGGCAGCAGUGGGGAAUAUUGCACAAUGGGGGAAACCCUGAUGCAGCAACGCCGCGUGGAGGAUGACGCAUUUCGGUGUGUAAACUCCUUUUAUUAAGGAAGAAAUUUGACGGUACUUAAUGAAUAAGCACCGGCUAACUCCGUGCCAGCAGCCGCGGUAAUACGGAGGGUGCAAGCGUUACUCGGAAUUACUGGGGCGUAAAGGACGCGUAAGCGGUUUAAAAAGUCAGAUGUGAAAUCCUAUGGCUUAACCAUAGAACUGCAUCUGAAACUCCUA
Molecule: ribosomal RNA, 568 nt
Filed under: uncultured bacterium
Lineage: Bacteria
Description: bacterial SSU rRNA
Rfam family: Bacterial small subunit ribosomal RNA
Source: RNAcentral